RNAcentral lists this ribosomal RNA (253 nucleotides) under uncultured bacterium. Its description in RNAcentral is "partial 16S ribosomal RNA". It matches the Rfam family "Bacterial small subunit ribosomal RNA", at positions 524 to 776 of the family's 1533-position model. The record is from RNAcentral.
UACGUAGGUGGCAAGCGUUGUUCGGAAUUAUUGGGCGUAAAGGGCGCGUAGGCGGUUUGUUAAGUCGGUCGUGAAAGCCCGGGGCUCAACCCCGGAGGGUCGACCGAUACUGGCAGACUAGAGUACAGAAGAGGUAACUGGAAUUCCCGGUGUAGCGGUGAAAUGCGUAGAUAUCAGGAGGAACACCAAUAGCGAAGGCAGCUCGCUGGGACGUUACUGACACUGAGGCGCGAAAGCGUGGGGAGCGAACAGG